ACAGAUAAAGGAAGUUGUGAAACUUCCCCCAAUAGAAUAGUUUAGUUAAGUCUAGUUUAGUUUUUGUGUGAAGCACUUCCUCCGUAAGCGAACGAUAGGAAGUGCUUUUUGU
This is a small RNA of Bacteroides cellulosilyticus CAG:158, 112 nucleotides long. It matches the Rfam family "Bacteroides sRNA BTnc049". From Rfam's summary of the family: An uncharacterized small RNA discovered in Bacteroides thetaiotaomicron The record is from Rfam. NCBI's taxonomy places the organism in Bacteria, Pseudomonadati, Bacteroidota, Bacteroidia, Bacteroidales, Bacteroidaceae.